UUUGAACGCACCUUGCGCUCCUCGGUAUUCCGGGGAGCAUGCCUGUUUGAGUGUCAUCGAAACCUCGAAACCGAAGCCUUCGACCCGUCGGAGCUCGGUCUCGGACCAUGGGAGUCUGCGGGCGGCAACGUCGGCUCUCCUCAAAAGCAUUAGCUGUGGGUACGAGCCUUGCGUGGCACGGCCUCUUCCGACGUCGUAAUGAUCGUCGUGGGCUGGAAGCGCGAGGACCGGCAUGACCCGUGCUUCUUAACUCUGUGCGAGUCGCACGUAUCAAGGCUUGACCUCAAAUCAGGUAGGACUACCCGCUGAACUUAAGCAUAUCAAUAAGCGGAGGAAAAGAAACUAACAAGGAUUCCCCUAGUAACUGCGAGUGAAGCGGGAAGAGCUCAAAUUUCGAAUC
RNAcentral lists this ribosomal RNA (400 nucleotides) under Scleroderma sinnamariense. RNAcentral describes it as "eukaryotic LSU rRNA". The stretch from base 279 to 400 matches the Rfam family "Eukaryotic large subunit ribosomal RNA", at positions 1 to 122 of the family's 3401-position model. The record is from RNAcentral. Lineage: Eukaryota; Fungi; Basidiomycota; Agaricomycetes; Boletales; Sclerodermataceae.